This 172-nucleotide non-coding RNA is filed under the name Desulfomicrobium norvegicum. The record is from RNAcentral. Lineage: Bacteria; Pseudomonadati; Thermodesulfobacteriota; Desulfovibrionia; Desulfovibrionales; Desulfomicrobiaceae.
UCCAUCGCGAGGUGGAAUCUGAAGGAAGCCGCAGGCAAAACCCUGGCUCGACGAACAGAAACCGCAUAUGAGGCGGCCGCGCCGGAUGAGAAGGCCAAUAUCUUCAAAGUCCGAUACCUGUACGGAAGGCGCGGACGUAAAUGCGGCGGGCAUAAGGGGGAAGGUGGGUGUG